RNAcentral lists this long non-coding RNA (210 nucleotides) under Vombatus ursinus (common wombat). Its description in RNAcentral is "lncRNA (ENSVURG00010022989.1)". The record is from RNAcentral. Lineage: Eukaryota; Metazoa; Chordata; Mammalia; Diprotodontia; Vombatidae.
GUCGGUAGAUGCAUUAGGACUGGGCGUCGCGUCACGUGCUGACGCCGAGCUCAGGGACACGGAGUGUGCAGCUUGCCUGCAGAAGGGCUGAGUAGGAGGAGCCAGUGUCAAGUGCACCCUCCCCCCAACUUCCGGUUGCUAAAUCCUCAGAUCCAGGGGCGAAGAGCGGUGCUUGGGUUGUUCGUGUCUCCUGCUCAUUUGAGGGAAUGA